This is a non-coding RNA of Macaca mulatta (Rhesus monkey), 1893 nucleotides long. The record is from RefSeq and is a predicted model, not a curated record. Lineage: Eukaryota; Metazoa; Chordata; Mammalia; Primates; Cercopithecidae.
CACACGUAUCAGCAGCCUUCUGUUACGUUGUUUGGCUGUUUUCAAGCUCAACAGUGACAAAAGGGCCAGGAGACCUGGGUGUAAUUCUUGACUUCAGCAUGUACCUGCCGUGGGGCUGCGGCCCAGGAAGAUAUGGAGGUUACUCAGUCUGCAAGAAGGAAGCACUUUUCUUCAAAAUACCCAUAAUUUAACCAAAAUUUAACAACUGCCAUGAAAAGUCCAAUAAAUGGGUAUGUGCACCAUCUCCUCCUCCCUGGCCUGGGACCUCCACUCUUUUGGAGUCAUCUCCCUGGGGUACCCGCAGGACAUACAAUGGAUUCACCUUGCAUUGCGUGGGCCUCCCUGCAGAAGGCACACUGAGAAGCAAAGGUAGAGAGAGCUAGGAGUUCUCCUUGGAAUGUUUUACGUAAUAUAAUACCGAUGCUAAAAAUACACAGAAUGCCCUGUCCCUCUGGUUUUCUAUCAACUAUUAGCCAAUAAAUCUGUCUACUAACUCGACGGCAAAAGUAAUGAGCAUGUCAUAAGCUUCAGGGCACUGAUAAAAUUACUGAAUUCUGUGCUUAUGAUACUGAAUUAGCAAUAACCGUAAGAAUGAAAUAAAUGACGUAGCUGCAAGGAACUUCAGUAGCUUUCAGUAAUAGUAGCAUUUAAACAACCAUAUUUUAGAACUUAAAAAAAAACGUGGAAGUCUAAACAUGGUUCAUUUAAAUUAAAUCUCCACUCUCCAUUUCCAAAACAAACUCAAGCAUUAAGGAACCUACCUCCAUCCCUUGAUUAAUUGCUAAUUUUGCCACUCUCAUUGCAACAGGUCCCUAAAAUUCAAAUUAAAGAAAGAGACUUUAAUUAUUAUUUAUGCAAAUUAUGUUGUGUAUCUCAGUAAAAUUCAGAAUUCCCACCACUGGAUCCAUGGCACAGCCAGCAAUGGCUGUCAGACACUAGACGGAAAAUUUUCUGAGCCUUGCAAGGCUGUAAUUAAAGAGCAACUGCAACAAUUGCAUCAGCACAUUAUUUAGAUUCCACAAUGUUCUGUUAUGCUGCAAACUCCGGAUCCUUAAAGGUGAGCAGGUAGCGCGUGUCCAGCUGUGAGCUUGCUGUUCUUCAGCAACACUUCCUAGAAGUUAAGUAGAGGAAGGAAAAGGAGGUAAGGCCUUCGCCUCAGUACCAUACCAGUUAGGGGUUUCCACAGAAGCUUGGGCUGGGGAUGAGGCUGUUGCUAUUGAUUAAGGUAGGGUUCUGCUAUCAUCUCUUUCAGACACUGGCUCUCUAUCUUUCCUCCGUUAGCCUUGAUAACUAAUAGUAAUGAUGGUGGAUUAAUCAAGAGUGUCCUCUAAGCAGUGCUCCCACAGCACAAAUAAAAUUGAAGUCUACAUAAGUCUUUCAGGAUGUAGGAGAGUCACUGAGGAACGAACUGGGUAUCUGCUGUGAGAAGGAAAAUGUUACCUGUGACUUGCAGAAGCCAAACUCUUACCAAGCUACCCUACCUCAGAUGGAAUUUCAUUAUUUGACCACAUUUUAAAGUCCUAAAUACUGUUUAUGGGUGAUGAAUGUGCAUCCAAUGCUAUAUUUUGAACUGAAUGCUCUUUUGAAUUAAAACACAAGGUAGUCUCUAAACAACAAGCACAGGAAAGGACUCCUGGAUGGUGACAUGGAUGAACGCAUGAAAAGACAUGUUUUCCUAUCAAGGAGUUUCUAUUAUUAAAUUUGACCUAUCUAAAUUUUCUUCUAAAUCAUGUUUACAAAUCUUUUUCAAAGGCCACAAUUUCCAAGGAUAUACUUGGUAGACAAGUAUCUUAUUGAUAAUUCUUCCCAUUGUGAUUUGCCUGUGUGGUAGACACCAAUACCAUUUUUUUUCAUCAUAAUCAAUCCAUUUCAUUAAACGGUGUGCUCCUCUAA